Long non-coding RNA from Sus scrofa (pig), 1652 nucleotides. RefSeq lists it as uncharacterized. The record is from RefSeq and is a predicted model, not a curated record. NCBI's taxonomy places the organism in Eukaryota, Metazoa, Chordata, Mammalia, Artiodactyla, Suidae.
AUUACCCUCAUUUCAUAGACGACAAAACAGAUGCAGAGAAGUUAAUUAAAUGUAUACAUAAAAGGGAAAAAAAAGAGCCAUGAGGAAGUAGACAGACUUUUAUGUCUAAUAAAAUAGAUUUUCAGAAAUAAGGACUUUUGAGGAGGUCUUAUGGUGGCUCGCACUAGCAGGUUAAAAACCUUACUAGCAUCCAUGAGGAUGCAGGUUCGAUCCCUGGACUCAUUCAGUGGGUUAAGAAUCCAGCGUGGCUGUGGCUGUGGUGUGGCAGCUGCAGCUCUGAUUCGACCCCUAGCCUGGGAAUUUCCACAUGCCACAGGUGUGGCCCUAAAAAGAGAAAAAAUACAAGGCUUUUUUGCAGUGACAUCAUUAAUAUGUUUGAGUACAUACGGUUAGUCCUCUGGCCCUGGGUUUCCUCAUCUGUACAAAGAGGGUGGGCGUUCCUUCCCCUUGUAAUGUUCUAAGGAUGCUAAGAGGAUGUUCUAAGUAUGCUAAGAGGAUGUUCUAAGUAUGCUAAGAGCCUUGCAGGUCGGGCUAUUUGCGGAGCUCUUGGCAUCUCCAGAUCAUGAUUUCCAAGAGCUGAGAUGUUCAUCCAGAAUUCUGAACGCAAUCCGAAGAAAGGACCCAAACGCCCCUUUGCUCUCAGCAGUGACCUUCACGCCUCCACUUCCCAUGUCAUCAAGAGAGUCCUGAGGGGGCUGCUGGGAUCCGGCUGGAAGCGUCCAGCAGGAAGAAUUCUUUAUUAACACACACAGGAAAGCCGAGCUCUCCUUGUCGCUGGUCCUCAGCUGCAACAGAAAAGGAACCGAGAACCAGGCUGCUUGGAAACUCACCCAUCCGCAGGCGUUGUUAAGGGAACCGCUGCUUUCAUUUACACUCACGGGCUCCUCCUUUUCCUCCUCAUCUACGCCCCCACCCACCCCUUAAGGAAAAACAAAACAAAACUUAUUUCCAAGACCAACGCUAAGCAAUUCACAGGCAGCGUCAUUUCAUCAACGCGCUCCCGUUGCACUCCGGACAUUCGGCCUGGACCGUGGCCAGGGCAGUGGUGAUGGACUACCAUCUUAAGCAUCCACUCUGCGCCCACCACUCUAUCGCCACUUGACGGGGAUACUGUGUUUGUUCUCCAUGCCAAGUCCACAGGGCCGCUGUAUCCCCUCCCAUCAUAGAAGAAAGGGCGUUGAGAGCUUGGGUACCACAGGGCCAAGGUGAGUAAGGCAGCUCUUAAGCUACCUGUUCGCAUUCCUUGGUCCACUAGGAAGCAAAGGUCCAUGUCAAAGGCACCCGCAAUCCUGCCCUCCGCCUGCCAACCUAGAGGAUGACUGGGAAAAUACGAGAUAAAGAAACCACCCUCAGAAUGGCUUUCCAUCACGUGAGAUCCCCAGAGUCCGGAUCCGAGAGCAGCCAGACCAGGAGAUUGCCUGCAAAGGUCUUCAGCCAGCCUACCUGCAGAGCACCAAGGGGCUCUCGUAUAUUUGACUGCAUUCCCUCCUCCCAGGACCCUUUGAGUUAGAGUUCUCUGUGUGGCUGAGAAAGAAAAAGAGCUACAAAGAAUGGGUAAAUUGCUCAAGGUCUUGGUUAAUCUCUAACAAACCUAGGAUUCAAGCCUCACCUUGCUUCUGGAUGGAGGCAAGCUACUGAAAUGCAUGCUCAGG